UACGUAGGGGGCGAGCGUUGUCCGGAGUUACUGGGCGUAAAGGGCAUGCAGGCGGUCGGACGCGUUUCUAGUGACAGCGGGUGGCUUACCUACCCGAGGAUUGGAAAGACGGUUUGACUUGAGGACUCGAGAGGGACACGGAAUUCCGGGUGGAGUGGUGAAAUGCGUAGAGAUCCGGAGGAACAUCAAAGGCGAAGGCAGUGUCCUGGCGAGUAACUGACGCUGAGGUGCGAAAGCUAGGGGAGCGAACGGG
Molecule: ribosomal RNA, 253 nt
Filed under: uncultured bacterium
Lineage: Bacteria
Description: partial 16S ribosomal RNA
Rfam family: Bacterial small subunit ribosomal RNA
Source: RNAcentral